AGUCCUGUAGCUCAGCUGGUUAGAGCGCUGUUCCGAUGUACCAGCAGUCACGGGUUCCAGCCCCGUCGGGACUA
Non-coding RNA from Triticum urartu, 74 nucleotides. Lineage: Eukaryota; Viridiplantae; Streptophyta; Magnoliopsida; Poales; Poaceae. The record is from Rfam.